AUAAGUAAUAAAAACGCUUAUAUAAUUUCAUGAUAUGGUUGAUAGUUUCUACCCGAAACCGUAAAUUUCGGACUAUAAGCAAAUUAAUC
RNAcentral lists this non-coding RNA (89 nucleotides) under chicken gut metagenome. RNAcentral's name for it is "Purine riboswitch". It matches the Rfam family "Purine riboswitch aptamer". Rfam says of the family: Riboswitches are metabolite binding domains within certain messenger RNAs that serve as precision sensors for their corresponding targets. Allosteric rearrangement of mRNA structure is mediated by ligand binding, and this results in modulation of gene expression. The record is from RNAcentral.